UUACUUGGCUCAUUGUGCUCUAGUGACUCCUUGUGGCGGGCCGGGCACCUGCAGGCUGACAUUAGAAGUCAGUUAAACGGUGUUUCCUCUGACACAUUGGUGCAUCUGGCCUCCGGGUUAAGUGGGUGGGUGUUAAGGAGCGUGGUUUGGCUGCUAAUGUUUCAGAGGACGCAUGACUCAACCUUUGCCUUUUUUUGUGAGAAAAAGGGGGGAAAACCAGAAUGUUUAUUUAUUAAUAGAUGGAUAGAUUGACAUAAUUAUUUAUAAAAUAUUUAUCCUCUUGGGGUUUCUAGGUUUGAUUUAUUGACAAUUGACACACUGAGUGGUUGUUAUUUUCCUGUGGAAGUUGAGUCUGUUAGAUGAGAAGAGGCUCUUUAUGGAGGUUGAGUCUGUUAGAUGAGAAGAGGUUCUUUAUGGAGGUUGAGUCUGUUAGAUGAGAAGAGGCUCUUUAUGGAGGUUGAGUCUGUUAGAUGAGAAGAGGUUCUUUAUGGAGGUUGAGUCUGUUAGAUGAGAAGAGGUUCUUUAUGGAGGUUGAGUCUGUUAGAUGAGAAGAGGUUCUUUAUGGAGGUUGAGUCUGUUAGAUGAGAAGAGGCUCUUUAUGGAGGUUGAGUCUGUUAGAUGAGAAGAGGUUCUUUAUGGAGGUUGAGUCUGUUAGAUGAGAAGAGUCCAAAGCGCUAUAAGUGGGGCAGGUCAUACUUGGAAGACAAUCCUAACAUCAACUGAAGUAAAAUUAGGGUCUCCAUAUAGCUGAGGUUCAGCAUUGUAGCACGCUUGAAAUGUGAAGGUAAUUUCAGAUUGAGCCGUCAUAAGUCACUUCAACGGUUAAAAGUUGGGUAAAAAUAAGUUGAUUCAACGUCAUCACGGUGAUUAUUUUGGUUGAAAUGAGGUGGAAACAAUGUUGAUACAACCAGUUUUGGCCCAGUGGAUGAAUGUUGUUUUAUGUGUAAUCAAAUCCAGGUUCUGUUUUGAAUAGCCUCCAACGUAAUACUGACCUUCUGUCGUACUGAAAGCAUCAUGCAUAAAGAAUAGGUAACUGGUUAUGGGCACCGAGGUAUUAUUAGUAUGUCCCAGUAGUGUCAUAGAGUUUAUAAUGAUGCUUUUUAUUGUUGUGUUUUCAAUGUCUUGAAGAAAGGUUUCUAGUCCUCAAAACAUUAUGGCAACAAGAUCCCUGAUUCUGAGUUGUAGCAGUUAGGAUACCUCCUUGUUCAACUUAUGCCUUAAACUAGAGAACUGGGAGGACCCCUCCAGCUCCUUAAUAAUGGUCUGUUCCCUGACUGAGGUCCUCUUAUGUGCCAUGGGGCUUGGUACAGUCCAAACCUGAGAUGGGUGUGCUGCAGUCUACUAUCUUCUGGUUAAUGUUGGUUUUGCACCAGAUCAGUGAAAUGAGGAUGUAGUUAUGAACUAAACUGUGUAAAAAAACAUUAGGAACAACUUCCUAAUAUUGAGUUGCACACCCUUUUCCCCCUCAAAACAGCUUCAAUUCGUCGAGGCACGGACUCUAAAGUUGUGGAAAGCGUUCCACAGGGAUGCUGGCCCAUGUUGACUCCAAUGCUUCCCACAGUUGUGUCAUGUUCGCUGGAUGUCCUUUGGGUGGUGGACCAUUCUUGAUACACAUGGGAAACUGUUGGGUGUGAAAAACCCAGAAGCGUUGCAGUUCUUGACACAAACCGGUGCCCCUGGCAGCUACUACCAUAUCCCCUUGAAAGGCACUUAAAUCAUUAGUCUUGCCUAUUUACCCUCUGAAUGGCACACAUACACAAUCCAUGUCUCAAUUGUCUCAAGGCUUAAAAAUCAUUCUUUAACCUCUCCUCCCCUUCAUCUACACUGACUGAAGUGGAUUUAUGAGGGAUCAUAGCUUUCACCUGGAUUCACCUGGUCAGAGCAGGUGUUCCUAAUGGUUUGUACACUCAGUUAUAUGUGAAAGAAAGAAUCCUGAAUAUCUUCUACCAUUUCCCCCUGUUUGACGGCAUCAGUGCAGAAGCAUUAGUAGUGAUAUGAAUAGGUGCCAUAAUGCACAUAUGACUAUUGCACUGUGAGUCGGUCUCAUAGCUGUGUCUGCUUCUGUGUGUGAUCUAAAUAUACUGCUGUGUAGUUCCCUGGUUAUCAGAUCUAUAGUGCUGGUUAUCAGAUCUAUAGUGCCCAUAUCGUUAGAGGGGAUUCUAUUUCAAUGAUAAUAUCACUAUAGUUCAUUCUAGAACCCAGGGGGAUAUUACAAAAGUCUAUUAUACUGUAUAAGCCAAUUAUACUGUAGGCGACAUAUUCUGGUGUCCCUGUGGACAUGUGUUGUCUUGUCAGUGCUAACGGUCAGUGUCUGUCUGUGUGUGUAGUGCCAAUGCUCUCUGCUGCGGAGCUGUCCUUGUGCAGAUGCUUUCUGGGAGGUUGGCAUGGAGACUUAUUCAUCAAACGUGCCAUAUAUUCCAAAGUCAUCUGCAUUCUGCAGUUUGUCCCAUGUAAUGUACUGUUGAAGUGCUCUACUUCCAACUGGAACUGUUUUGGGUGAGCGAUCUAUUUAGGAUCGCAAAAUGUCUAACUUUUCCAAAAUAACCAGGUUUUCCAGAAAUCUUGGUUGGAGGAUUCCCGGAUUUCUUGUUUAUUACUUUCGGAUUCCUUGACUCUUCCAACUAGUAUAUCAGGAGUUUGAGGAAAGUCACCAGAAUUUGGAGACCUGAGUUCUAUUUCAUUGUCAAUUACAAUGUGUAGUACCGGUGAGCACACUGUACUGCUUUAAACAUAAUCAGAAAAUGAUAUUUUUAGAUGACUGCCAACUCAUAGCUAACGCGUGAUGAUGUUCGUCGCAAUGAAAUAUGUUUCUAGUUUAGUUAUAUUUCUUACAUGUUAUGGAGGAUAGCUGGAUCUGUGUUGUUCUGGCUCUGGGAAUAACCUUUCCAUAAACUAGUCCUAGUCCUAUCCACAUUCUAGGGGCGGCAGGUAGCCUAGUGGUUAGAGCGUUGGACAAGUAACUGAAAGGUUGCAAGGUCAAAUCCCCGAGCUGACAAGGUAAAAAAAAGGCUGUCGUUCUGCCCCUGAACAAGGCAGUUAACUCACUGUUCCUAGGCCAUCAUUGAAAAUAAGAAUGUGUUCUUAACUGACUUGCCUAGUUAAAUAAAGAUAACAUGCUGUAUGGUGGAGCUGUGAGAUAUUCAGAAGUGUGUGUGUCAAAUGCAGGGGCCCCCAGGGGUGGUUAGCAGUGGAGGCUGGUGGGAGGAGCUAUAGGAAGACAGGCUCAUUGUAAUGGCUGGAAUGGAACCAUGUUUCACUCUGUUCCAUUGAUGUCAUUACAAUGAGCCUGUCCUCCUAUAGCUCCUCCCACCAGACUCCUCAGGUGGAAGUGACAUUAUGGCCUAGAUAAUAUAAUAUAUUAUAUUUUGAUAUUUUAUUUCUCCAAAUAUAUAUUAACAUCAGCAUUUGUUCACAUGCAUUUGUUCAUAUUCAAUCAUGGUUCCAUCGACAUAUAUUUUUUCCUCUGUGUGACUCUGAAAUAUAUCGUAUUAUAUACUUAAGAUAUUUAUUUCAAAUGAUUGUCUUGUCCUGUGUUCUCAAUCUAUUCUAAAAUAUAGCUAUAUCAAAGUAUUUAUGAAAUAUUUAAAGAAUAAA
Long non-coding RNA from Oncorhynchus tshawytscha (Chinook salmon), 3594 nucleotides. Lineage: Eukaryota; Metazoa; Chordata; Actinopteri; Salmoniformes; Salmonidae. The record is from Ensembl.